CCUACGGGAGGCAGCAGUGGGGAAUAUUCGGCAAUGGGCGAAAGCCUGACCGAGCCAUGCCGCGUGAGUGAUGAAGGCCUUAGGGUUGUAAAGCUCUUUCAACGGGGAAGAUAAUGACGGUACCCGUAGAAGAAGCCCCGGCUAACUUCGUGCCAGCAGCCGCGGUAAUA
This 170-nucleotide ribosomal RNA is filed under the name uncultured bacterium. RNAcentral describes it as "partial 16S ribosomal RNA". It matches the Rfam family "Bacterial small subunit ribosomal RNA", at positions 338 to 525 of the family's 1533-position model. The record is from RNAcentral.